RNAcentral lists this ribosomal RNA (450 nucleotides) under uncultured bacterium. RNAcentral's name for it is "bacterial SSU rRNA". It matches the Rfam family "Bacterial small subunit ribosomal RNA", at positions 29 to 524 of the family's 1533-position model. The record is from RNAcentral.
AACGAACGCUGGCGGCAUGCCUAACACAUGCAAGUCGAACGAGACCUUCGGGUCUAGUGGUGCACGGGUGCGUAACGCGUGGGAAUCUGCCCUUGGGUUCGGAAUAACAGUUAGAAAUGACUGCUAAUACCGGAUGAUGUCUUCGGACCAAAGAUUUAUCGCCCAGGGAUGAGCCCGCGUAGGAUUAGCUAGUUGGUGAGGUAAAGGCUCACCAAGGCGACGAUCCUUAGCUGGUCUGAGAGGAUGAUCAGCCACACUGGGACUGAGACACGGCCCAGACUCCUACGGGAGGCAGCAGUGGGGAAUAUUGGACAAUGGGCGAAAGCCUGAUCCAGCAAUGCCGCGUGAGUGAUGAAGGCCUUAGGGUUGUAAAGCUCUUUUACCCGGGAUGAUAAUGACAGUACCGGGAGAAUAAGCCCCGGCUAACUCCGUGCCAGCAGCCGCGGUAAU